GGUGAAAGUGGCGCACGGGUGAGUAACGCGUGGAUAAUCUGCCCGAGGAUUUGGGAUAACAUCUCGAAAGGGGUGCUAAUACCGAAUAAGCCCACGGGGUCUACGGAUCUUGCGGGAAAAGGGGGGGACCUUCGGGCCUCCUGUCCUUGGAUGAGUCUGCGUACCAUUAGCUAGUUGGUGGGGUAAUGGCCUACCAAGGCGACGAUGGUUAGCUGGUCUGAGAGGAUGAUCAGCCACACUGGAACUGAGACACGGUCCAGACUCCUACGGGAGGCAGCAGUGGGGAAUUUUGCGCAAUGGGGGAAACCCUGACGCAGCAACGCCGCGUGGGUGAUGAAGGCCUUCGGGUCGUAAAGCUCUGUCUGGAGGGAAGAAAUGAUUGGGAGCUAAUACCUCUUGAUCUUGACGGUACCUCUGAAGGAAGCACCGGCUAACUCCGUGCCAGCAGCCGCGGUAAUACGGAGGGUGCAAGCGUUGUU
RNAcentral lists this ribosomal RNA (479 nucleotides) under Geobacter sp. enrichment culture clone S1a. RNAcentral's name for it is "bacterial SSU rRNA". It matches the Rfam family "Bacterial small subunit ribosomal RNA", at positions 88 to 545 of the family's 1533-position model. The record is from RNAcentral. Lineage: Bacteria; Pseudomonadati; Thermodesulfobacteriota; Desulfuromonadia; Geobacterales; Geobacteraceae.